This is a small nucleolar RNA of Ornithorhynchus anatinus (platypus), 138 nucleotides long. NCBI's taxonomy places the organism in Eukaryota, Metazoa, Chordata, Mammalia, Monotremata, Ornithorhynchidae. The record is from RefSeq and is a predicted model, not a curated record.
ACUCCCUCAGGGUCGUACCUGGAGAGUUUUCAGUACUCUACCAGUCUCAAUUAUGGGAGGAAGAGUCAAGCAGAUGCCUACCCAUUCCAUUCCUAAAUUGGCCAGUGGCUAGCAAGUGGAAGGCAAUCUGCUACAAGU